This 685-nucleotide long non-coding RNA is filed under the name Dasypus novemcinctus (nine-banded armadillo). Its description in RNAcentral is "lncRNA (ENSDNOG00000052057.1)". The record is from RNAcentral. Lineage: Eukaryota; Metazoa; Chordata; Mammalia; Cingulata; Dasypodidae.
CCUGGGAUAUUUCAACACUGUGGUGUGAAGGAAAGACACAAUUCUAAAAACCAUGAAACCAGAAACACAUUCCUUUUGUGGGGGGAGUUUAUUGGCUUAUCUACAUACCAUUUUUUUUUUGGCCAAUAAACAAAAGGCAAACUGGUUUAAACAUUUGUCGAAAUUAUCAUCUAGCUGACCAGACUUGUUUCCCAGUGAUUUCCUGAUUUUGUGUGCUUUUUCUCUAAAGUCAGUAAAAAAGUUAAAAUUUAUGCAUUCAGUCUUAGUCACAACUGAGAUUACGGUUUGAGCUGAUAAAAAUAAACAUCAACUUUGUCAUAUAAUUGAUCCCCAGUCAUUGUUUUGAUACAGUUUUAUUGAUAAUUACCUUCAAGGAUUGAGAAGCAGAGCUCUGACUGGCCCUGAAGACAGGAUGAUACCAGGAAUACCCUAUCGCCAACUCCAGGAGCUGUUCAAUCCAUCCAUCAGUAGACCUUUGGAAAAUGGCCAAUCUUGGGUCAGCACUGUGCUGCCUGACCCAGCUUCCCAAACUGGGAAACAUAUUCUCACCUGGGAUACUUAACUAUGAGCCAGAGAGAACAUGAAGCCAUGAGAAAAAGAAGAUCUUUCUGCUAUUUUUUAUUCCAUGUUCAAUAAAGUUAAAACAGCUUUCUAUAAAAAUAAUAAAUGAAAUAUAUUACAGAAU